UACGUAGGUGGCGAGCGUUGUCCGGAUUUACUGGGCGUAAAGGGAGCGUAGGCGGACUUUUAAGUGAGAUGUGAAAUACCCGGGCUCAACUUGGGUGCUGCAUUUAAAACUGGAAGUCUAGAGUGCAGGAGAGGAGAAUGGAAUUCCUAGUGUAGCGGUGAAAUGCGUAGAGAUUAGGAAGAACACCAGUGGCGAAGGCGAUUCUCUGGACUGUAACUGACGCUGAGGCGCGAAAGCCAGGGGAGCAAACGGGAUUAGAUACCCGGGUAGUCCCU
This 275-nucleotide ribosomal RNA is filed under the name uncultured prokaryote. Its description in RNAcentral is "partial 16S ribosomal RNA". It matches the Rfam family "Bacterial small subunit ribosomal RNA", at positions 524 to 798 of the family's 1533-position model. The record is from RNAcentral.